UGUCAGAAUCGGGACCGUCCCAUCCUAUUACCGCUCCUGCAUCACGUGAUUUGGAUCAAUUCCUCUACUGCAUGGUCACGUGGCGAAACCGGGGCGUAUAAAAGUAGUUGCGAAAUAAAGCAUUCCCUCCCAUAACCAAUUUCCACAGUAAACAGCAACAGUUAAUCUCAUCAAUAACAUGUCUCCAGUAGCAUUGAGAGUGGCUAUUUUGUCGAUGGCCCUUUUUUGCGUCGUCUAUGCUAAAAGCAUCGGACAAGAAAAGGCCAUACCAUAUGAACUCGACUUUACGCCAGACGACGGAUCUCCAGAAACAGCAAUUAUGAAUUAUCUUUUCGCUCGUCAGAUGGUUAAUAGACUUCGUAAUAACUUGGAUAUAAGCGAUCUUCAACGCAAGAGGUCCUACUGGAAGCAAUGCGCUUUCAACGCAGUUUCGUGUUUUGGUAGGAAGUAAUUAAAUAACAGAAAAAAAUCCUAAUUACAAUUAUAUUUAUGUAUUUAAAAGAUUAUAUAUUAUUCUUCUAAAAUUGCGUUGAGUUUUGUUUGUAUAUGAUGUCAAUUUUCAUUACAAUUAAUGUUUUUUCUUGUAAGUAGUCAUUAUAGACUAUAGUUCUUUAUGUAAAUAACUUGAUUAUGCUCUAAAUAAAUUAUUGUAG
Centruroides sculpturatus (bark scorpion) is the source of this 653-nucleotide long non-coding RNA. RefSeq lists it as uncharacterized. The record is from RefSeq and is a predicted model, not a curated record. NCBI's taxonomy places the organism in Eukaryota, Metazoa, Arthropoda, Arachnida, Scorpiones, Buthidae. The transcript is spliced from 3 exons.